RNAcentral lists this ribosomal RNA (657 nucleotides) under uncultured bacterium. RNAcentral describes it as "bacterial SSU rRNA". It matches the Rfam family "Bacterial small subunit ribosomal RNA", at positions 592 to 1249 of the family's 1533-position model. The record is from RNAcentral.
AUGUGAAAGCCCCGUGGCUCAACCUGGGAACUGCGUUUUGAACUGGGUAACUAGAGUGUGUCAGAGGGGGGUAGAAUUCCACGUGUAGCAGUGAAAUGCGUAGAGAUGUGGAGGAAUACCGAUGGCGAAGGCAGCCCCCUGGGAUAACACUGACGUUCAUGCUCGAAAGCGUGGGUAGCAAACAGGAUUAGAUACCCUGGUAGUCCACGCCCUAAACGACGUCAAUUAGCUGUUGGGGUACAUGAUGCCUUAGUAGCGUAGCUAACGCGUGAAAUUGACCGCCUGGGGAGUACGGUCGCAAGAUUAAAACUCAAAGGAAUUGACGGGGACCCGCACAAGCGGUGGAUGAUGUGGAUUAAUUCGAUGCAACGCGAAGAACCUUACCUGGUCUUGACAUGUACGGAAUCUCUUAGAGAUAGGAGAGUGCCUUCGGGAGCCGUAACACAGGUGCUGCAUGGCUGUCGUCAGCCCGUGUCGUGAGAUGUUGGGUUAAGUCCCGCAACGAGCGCAACCCUUGCCAUUAGUUGCCAUCAUUAAGUUGGGCACUCUAAUGGGACUGCCGGUGACAAACCGGAGGAAGGUGGGGAUGACGUCAAGUCCUCAUGGCCCUUAUGACCAGGGCUUCACACGUCAUACAAUGGUCGGUACAGAGGGUAG